This is a long non-coding RNA of Mauremys reevesii (Reeves's turtle), 401 nucleotides long. RefSeq lists it as uncharacterized. The record is from RefSeq and is a predicted model, not a curated record. The transcript is spliced from 4 exons. Lineage: Eukaryota; Metazoa; Chordata; Testudines; Geoemydidae.
GUUGAAACAUCAGGAGCUACUGUAGAAAAUGAACCACUUAUUCAAGUAUGAAACAUGGAGAAGAAUUAAGCUCCUUCUGGGCCUGGUAAGAGUGAAAUGCAGGAGAACAGACAUGGUUCUUCUGAGAGAAGGGACUAGGAAGUUGUGAGACAGCAGACGUACUCUGCAGGACCACCCACUGUGCAGGGUGGAAGCCCAUGCCAAGAUGCUGAGGUUUGAUGUCAUUCUGAUCUGAUCUGGAAAUGAGGUUGGGAGUCAUGGACCAGUCCCUGAGAAAGCUGUGUGUCCUGUGCGCAGAAACAAUAUACCAGUCUUCACUGUACAGCAUACUGCCACUGCCAGGACAGAGAAUGCCUAAAAUGCCAUUAAAUAUGUGCAAGAAAAUAUCUAUGAAGAUUAAG